GGCCUGAUAGUUCAGUGGUAGAAUUCUUGCUUUGGGAAACUGAAAUGUAAGAGGUCUCCGGUUCGAUCCCGGAUUAGGCCC
This 81-nucleotide transfer RNA is filed under the name Blumeria hordei DH14. Its description in RNAcentral is "tRNA-Pro for anticodon UGG". It matches the Rfam family "tRNA". Rfam says of the family: Transfer RNA (tRNA) molecules are approximately 80 nucleotides in length. Their secondary structure includes four short double-helical elements and three loops (D, anti-codon, and T loops). Lineage: Eukaryota; Fungi; Ascomycota; Leotiomycetes; Helotiales; Erysiphaceae. The record is from Rfam by way of RNAcentral.